CGGGGAAUCUUGCACAAUGGGGGAAACCCUGAUGCAGCGACGCCGCGUGAGCGAUGAAGCCCUUCGGGGUGUAAAGCUCUUUCGGCAGGAACGAUAAUGACGGUACCUGCAGAAGAAGCUGCGGCUAACUACGUGCCAGCAGCCGCGGUAAUACGUAGGCAGCAAGCGUUGUUCGGAGUUACUGGGCGUAAAGAGUGCGUAGGCGGUUCUCUAAGUUCGGUGUGAAAUCUCCCGGCUCAACUGGGAGGGUGCGCCGGAAACUGGAGGGCUUGAGUAUGGGAGAGGAAAGCGGAAUUCCUGGUGUAGCGGUGAAAUGCGUAGAUAUCAGGAGGAACACCUGUGGUGGAGACGGCUUUCUGGACCAUGACUGACGCUGAGGCACGAAAGCGUGGGGAGCAAACAG
Molecule: ribosomal RNA, 403 nt
Filed under: uncultured bacterium
Lineage: Bacteria
Description: bacterial SSU rRNA
Rfam family: Bacterial small subunit ribosomal RNA
Source: RNAcentral